UAAACCCUACCGGUAAACGGAAAACGAAGUAGUGUACUAAUACCGGAUAACAACAGAUGAUGCCUAUCAACUGUUUAAAAGAUGGUUCUGCUAUCACUCUUGGAUGGACCUGCGGUGCAUUAGCUAGUUGGUAGGGUAACGGCCUACCAAGGCGAUGAUGCAUAGCCGAGUUGAGAGACUGAUCGGCCACAUUGGGACUGAGACACGGCCCAAACUCCUACGGGAGGCAGCAGUU
This 235-nucleotide ribosomal RNA is filed under the name uncultured Lactobacillus sp. Its description in RNAcentral is "partial 16S ribosomal RNA". It matches the Rfam family "Bacterial small subunit ribosomal RNA", at positions 122 to 355 of the family's 1533-position model. The record is from RNAcentral. Lineage: Bacteria; Bacillati; Bacillota; Bacilli; Lactobacillales; Lactobacillaceae.